Oreochromis aureus is the source of this 554-nucleotide long non-coding RNA. RefSeq lists it as uncharacterized. The transcript has 3 exons. NCBI's taxonomy places the organism in Eukaryota, Metazoa, Chordata, Actinopteri, Cichliformes, Cichlidae. The record is from RefSeq and is a predicted model, not a curated record.
UCAGAUUUUAUUUUGUUGUAAUUUGGCAAUAUAUAAAAUAAUAAAAUUGAAUUGAAUUGAUGUCAUUCUACAUUCACUUCCCACUAAAUGAACCUGCUUUUUAACAGGUUUAAGCGACUUUGUGUCAUGAUCUGAAGACAUGACUGGAAAAUUCCAUCAGGCACCUGAGUUCCUUGGUCUCCAACCCUGGACGGAGCCAUCAUCUCUCCUACAGUCCUGCACACCUGAAGCUGAUUCUGGGUAGUCAGGUUGAGGAUUUAAUCUCCACUCAGACUCUCCUUUGCCUCCAGUUCGUCAAUGACUGCACUUUCCCUGGACCUUCUUCGCCACUGCCUUCAACCUCAGCUCCUCUCGGAUUACCUCCGCAUUCUGGGAAAUACAGAGAACCUCACCUGCCUGCCCUCCAGCUAUCACUCACCACCUCAGACGCAGUGAAACUCAGACGUACCCGCUCCAUUCCCUCGCACCUGUCAACUCCCAGUUCACCCUCACUGACCCACAGCUGCAUCAUUAGUAACACUUUUCUACGAAUUAAUCUGUUUUCUAAAUAAAAA